Alosa alosa (allis shad) is the source of this 843-nucleotide long non-coding RNA. RefSeq lists it as uncharacterized. The record is from RefSeq and is a predicted model, not a curated record. Lineage: Eukaryota; Metazoa; Chordata; Actinopteri; Clupeiformes; Clupeidae. The transcript has 4 exons.
UUGAAUUCAACACAUCGUUGAUGGUGGCAGCAGCAUGAGAGUGCUCUUUUGAUAAACUGCAUUGUGUUGGCUUUAGGCUAUUCCGUGUGCAGUAAUUAGCAUAAUUAGCAUUGCCGACACAGUAGGUCUAGGUCUAUUUCUUAAUUUUAAAGUCAGAAAUGUUAUGACUUAUUGCCUUGUAACUAGCACUAGCAUGGAAACUGAUGAUUAGCAACUUCUCAAGAUCUACAUGCAUGAGACUGCAAUGUGUGCAGCCUAUUGCUAUAACAGGCAACGCUAUAAGUUAAACAUUUGUAUCUGUCUCUGACAUUAACACAACCCUAGUCGGACUUUAUUAAUGAGAACUAAUGAUAUCCGGUGCAUUAUAUUUAUUAUUCUGUGCACCACGUGUGUGCCUCUCGAGCCUUCAGCCAUUCAUCAUUCAUUGGCUGUAUAUGUGUGACAAAUAACUCUUCUAGGUUAUUGAAGACAUACAGUACUUGCUAUGUGAACACCACACUGCAGGGGUUGGUGUUGGAGCCUUCAGCAAGAUCAGACUUGCUAUGUGAACAGCGCUGCAAAGCAUUCUUGACCUGCAACACAGGAGGGGUUGGUGUUGGAGCCUUCAGCCCUGCAGAUCAGGUAACUGAGGACAGACCUGCAAUGUGAACAACACACUGCAGUGCAUCUUUGACCUGCAACACAUCUGUAGGUGCAGGAGGGGUUGGUGUUGGAGCCUUCAGCCCUGCAGAUCAGUUACUGAGGAGGACAGACCUGCUAUGUGAACAGCGCUGCAGUGCAUCUUUGACCUGCAACACAUCUAUAGGUGCAGAAAGGGUUGGUGUUGGAGCCUUCAGCCCUGCA